Molecule: ribosomal RNA, 468 nt
Filed under: uncultured bacterium
Lineage: Bacteria
Description: partial 16S ribosomal RNA
Rfam family: Bacterial small subunit ribosomal RNA
Source: RNAcentral
GAUGAACGCUGGCGGCGUGCCUAACACAUGCAAGUCGAGCGAUUCUCUUCGGAGAAGGGCGGCGGACGGGUGAGUAACGCGUGGGUAACCUGCCCUGUACACACGGAUAACAUACCGAAAGGUAUGCUAAUACGAGAUAAUAUGCUUUUAUCGCAUGGUAGAAGUAUCAAAGCUCCGGCGGUACAGGAUGUACCCGCGUCUGAUUAGCUAGUUGGUAAGGUAACGGCUUACCAAGGCGACGAUCAGUAGCCGACCUGAGAGGGGGAUCGGCCACAUUGGAACUGAGACACGGUCCAAACUCCUACGGGAGGCAGCAGUGGGGAAUAUUGCACAAUGGGCGAAAGCCUGAUGCAGCAACGCCGCGUGAGCGAUGAAGGCCUUCGGGUCGUAAAGCUCUGUCCUCAAGGAAGAUAAUGACGGUACUUGAGGAGGAAGCCCCGGCUAACUACGUGCCAGCAGCCGCCGUAA